GAUGAAGAACGUAGCGAAAUGCGAUAAGUAAUGUGAAUUGCAGAAUUCAGUGAAUCAUCGAAUCUUUGAACGCACCUUGCACCCUUUGGCAUUCCGAAGGGUAUGCUCGUUUGAGUGUCAUUGUACUCUCACACUUCUGAUCCUUUGGAUUGGGAGCGGUGGACUUGGGUGUUGCUGCUUUACUGUGGCUCACCUCAAAUGCAUUCGUGCAACUCUUGGUUGGACAUAGUACGGCGUGAUAAGUAUCUUCGCCGGCACCUCGCAAGAGGGUGGCUGAUCAGGAGCUCUGUGCUUUCCAACUGUCUUCGGACAAUUUCUGACAACUUGACCUCAAAUCGAGUAGGACUACCCGCUGAACUUAAGCAUAUCAAUAAGCGGAGGA
Molecule: unclassified non-coding RNA, 382 nt
Filed under: soil metagenome
Description: partial contains 5.8S ribosomal RNA, internal transcribed spacer 2, and large subunit ribosomal RNA
Rfam family: 5.8S ribosomal RNA (bases 1-120)
Source: RNAcentral